This 313-nucleotide ribosomal RNA is filed under the name uncultured bacterium. RNAcentral's name for it is "bacterial SSU rRNA". It matches the Rfam family "Bacterial small subunit ribosomal RNA", at positions 8 to 320 of the family's 1533-position model. The record is from RNAcentral.
AGAGUUUGAUCAUGGCUCGAGAUUGAACGCUGGCGGCAGGCCUAACACAUGCAAGUCGGGCGGUAGAGAGAAGCUUGCUUCUCUUGAGAGCGGCGGACGGGUGAGUAAUGCCUAGGAAUCCUGCCUGGUAGUGGGGGAUAACGCUCGGAAACGGACGCUAAUACCGCAUACGUCCUACGGGAGAAAGCAGGGGACCUUCGGGCCUUGCGCUAGUCAGAUGAGCCUAGGUCGGAUUAGCUAGUUGGUGAGGUAAUGGCUCACCAAGGCGACGAUCCGUAACUGGUCUGAGAGGAUGAUCAGUCACACUGGAACU